CUACGGGAUGCAGCAGUGAGGAAUAUUGCACAAUGGGGGGAACCCUGAUGCAGCAACGCCGCGUGGAGGAUGACGCAUUUCGGUGUGUAAACUCCUUUUAUAUGUCAAGAAAAUGACGGUAGCAUAUGAAUAAGCACCGGCUAACUCCGUGCCAGCAGCCGCGGUAAUACGGAGGGUGCAAGCGUUACUCGGAAUCACUGGGCGUAAAGGACGCGUAGGAGGGUUGGAAAGUCAGGUGUGAAAUCCUACAGCUUAACUGUGGAACUGCACUUGAAACUUCUAAUCUAGAGUAUGGGAGGGGGAGAUGGAAUUAGUGGUGUAGGGGUAAAAUCCGUAGAUAUCACUAGGAAUACCUAAAGCGAAGGCGAUCUCCUGGAACAUUACUGACGCUAAGGCGUGAAAGCGUGGGGAGCAAACAGGAUUAGAUACCCGGGUAGUC
This 439-nucleotide ribosomal RNA is filed under the name uncultured bacterium. RNAcentral's name for it is "partial 16S ribosomal RNA". It matches the Rfam family "Bacterial small subunit ribosomal RNA", at positions 339 to 795 of the family's 1533-position model. The record is from RNAcentral.